This 547-nucleotide ribosomal RNA is filed under the name Escherichia coli. RNAcentral's name for it is "partial 23S ribosomal RNA". It matches the Rfam family "Bacterial large subunit ribosomal RNA", at positions 474 to 1021 of the family's 2925-position model. RNAcentral also lists the same sequence under 1 other name. Lineage: Bacteria; Pseudomonadati; Pseudomonadota; Gammaproteobacteria; Enterobacterales; Enterobacteriaceae. The record is from RNAcentral.
UCCUGACUGACCGAUAGUGAACCAGUACCGUGAGGGAAAGGCGAAAAGAACCCCGGCGAGGGGAGUGAAAAAGAACCUGAAACCGUGUACGUACAAGCAGUGGGAGCACGCUUAGGCGUGUGACUGCGUACCUUUUGUAUAAUGGGUCAGCGACUUAUAUUCUGUAGCAAGGUUAACCGAAUAGGGGAGCCGAAGGGAAACCGAGUCUUAACUGGGCGUUAAGUUGCAGGGUAUAGACCCGAAACCCGGUGAUCUAGCCAUGGGCAGGUUGAAGGUUGGGUAACACUAACUGGAGGACCGAACCGACUAAUGUUGAAAAAUUAGCGGAUGACUUGUGGCUGGGGGUGAAAGGCCAAUCAAACCGGGAGAUAGCUGGUUCUCCCCGAAAGCUAUUUAGGUAGCGCCUCGUGAAUUCAUCUCCGGGGGUAGAGCACUGUUUCGGCAAGGGGGUCAUCCCGACUUACCAACCCGAUGCAAACUGCGAAUACCGGAGAAUGUUAUCACGGGAGACACACGGCGGGUGCUAACGUCCGUCGUGAAGAGGGAA